Carassius carassius (crucian carp) is the source of this 934-nucleotide long non-coding RNA. RefSeq lists it as uncharacterized. The record is from RefSeq and is a predicted model, not a curated record. Lineage: Eukaryota; Metazoa; Chordata; Actinopteri; Cypriniformes; Cyprinidae. The transcript has 3 exons.
CAAAACACAAAUGAUGUUCAGCAUUAUUGUCUAUGUUGACAAGAUAACUAGGGUUUGAAACGUGGCAAGUAAUAUAAAUGAAGGCAUGUAGACGAAAUAAGGAACACAGAGUGAGAGCAGUAUAUUGGAGCUACUCUCUGACUUGUGGCAUUGGUGACACAGCACCAGACAAUGCUUUUUUAUGUGCUUUUUACUGAUAGGCAGGUCAGGUUUGGCAAAUAAGUUGGGUUGUAUACAGAUCUUUGGACCUGAGAAGACUUGCAAAUGGGAAUAAAGUGCUAAUAGGCAAAUUUGUUGUUGUACCGGUGAAUGGAUUUACUAUCAAUUCAGUUUUUACUAUAAGUCCAAUGAGUAGAAGAACUGGACUGAGAGCAGACAAGACUGUUUGAAGAAAGGAGCAGAUCUGAUCAUCAUAAACAACAGAACAGAACAAGAUUUUGUUAUGAAUAUUACUAAUAAAACAGCAUUCUGGAUUGGUGUGACUGACACUGAUGUGGAGGACAGCUGGAAAUGGGUUGAUGGCAGCAACAUGACCUCUGGGUUCUGGGCAACCAGUGAAGAAAUAAAAGAGCCAAAAGGAGGAAAAUUAGAGAACUGUGCUGUGUCUUAUAUACCAAUGUCGACUGAAAUAACAGGGUGGCAUGAUGUUAAAUGUGAUCAAACUUAUAACUGGAUCUGUGAAAAGAGUAUUAUACCUCUCAUACAGAGAGAAACAUCAUAAACAAGUUUUCUUCCUGUUUUUUUUUUUGGUGACCUUAUUAAAAGUACCAAACAUUCAGAAUGAAUGAUUAUCAUCUAUAGCAUUGCUGCUGCUGAAGUGUCACCUUUAAAGCAAAUUGUAGAUCUACCCAAUAUUGUUUUUUGUAUCACUUAUAUGCUAUUACAGUUUUUAUUAAUAUUUUGUAUUUGUUUGCAUUUUUAUGUCUGUUUUCAU